Molecule: ribosomal RNA, 497 nt
Filed under: uncultured bacterium
Lineage: Bacteria
Description: partial 16S ribosomal RNA
Rfam family: Bacterial small subunit ribosomal RNA
Source: RNAcentral
GAUGAACGCUGGCGGCGUGCCUAAUACAUGCAAGUCGAGCGAACAGACGAGGAGCUUGCUCCUCUGACGUUAGCGGCGGACGGGUGAGUAACACGUGGAUAACCUACCUAUAAGACUGGGAUAACUUCGGGAAACCGGAGCUAAUACCGGAUAAUAUAUUGAACCGCAUGGUUCAAUAGUGAAAGACGGUUUUGCUGUCACUUAUAGAUGGAUCCGCGCCGCAUUAGCUAGUUGGUAAGGUAACGGCUUACCAAGGCAACGAUGCGUAGCCGACCUGAGAGGGGGAUCGGCCACACUGGAACUGAGACACGGUCCAGACUCCUACGGGAGGCAGCAGUAGGGUAUCUUACGCAAUGGGCGAAAGCCUGACGGAGCGACGCCGCGUGAGUGAUGAAGGUCUUCGGAUCGUAAAACUGUGUUAUUAGGGAAGAACAAAUGUGUAAGUAACUAUGCACGUCUUGACGGUACCUGAUCAGAAAGCCACGGCUAACUACGUG